AUCUAUAUAGCUUAUUAGAGCGUGGUUUUGAAGAAGCUAAGGAAAUUUAUAUUUAUAGAUA
RNAcentral lists this transfer RNA (61 nucleotides) under Cassida circumdata. RNAcentral's name for it is "tRNA-Phe". The record is from RNAcentral. Lineage: Eukaryota; Metazoa; Arthropoda; Insecta; Coleoptera; Chrysomelidae.